UGCUUAUGAGGAUCGAUUUGCUCUGAGGGUGUGUGACAGGCUGCGUUAUGUGUUUUAGGAUAAACGAUAAUGAGGGAGUGGCAGAGAUGUUAAUUGACUCCCUGGGUGCAAAUAUUGUGAAUGCAACGGACUCCAAGGGCAGGACUCCUCUUCAUGCUGCAGCUUUUCUGACCAUGUGGAGUGCGUUUCCCUUCUUCUGAGCCAUGGAGCUCAGGCAAAUGUUGUUGACACCCACAUGCACAGAACACCACUGAUGAUGGUAGCUCUAAAUGGACAGACCAAUGCUGUGGAGGUGAUGGUGAGCGGUGCUAAGGCAGACUUGGCACUGCAAGAUGCAGACAGGAACACAGCAUUGCAUUUGGCUUGCAGCAAGGGUCACGAGACAAGUGCCUUGUUGAUUCUGGAGAAAAUCAGCGACAGGAAUCUCAUUAACUGCACCAACGCUGCUCUGCAGACG
Long non-coding RNA from Oreochromis niloticus (Nile tilapia), 457 nucleotides. RefSeq lists it as uncharacterized. The transcript has 4 exons. The record is from RefSeq and is a predicted model, not a curated record. Lineage: Eukaryota; Metazoa; Chordata; Actinopteri; Cichliformes; Cichlidae.